UAAACACCUCGUUAUUUGUUC
Molecule: non-coding RNA, 21 nt
Filed under: Caenorhabditis elegans
Lineage: Eukaryota; Metazoa; Nematoda; Chromadorea; Rhabditida; Rhabditidae
Source: RNAcentral